CUGUGGCCUGGCCAACGCCCCAUCCUACGCUACAGACAGCCUAACGUCGCCGGUGGGCCACCCGAAUACAUCCUUUCCCGGACCCACACGUCAUCCUCCCCUAAACCCUCCGCCACCUUUUCCCGAAAGCCCUGCCCUUUUUAUGCCAGCCCGAACCAUCCGGGUCCGGGGCAUCGGCAUUCAGCACAGCAGCCACCUCUUACCACGCCCCACGGCACCACCCCAACGUGAUGGCGGUGAGCAACAACAUCACGGCAUGCGUGACGCUGCUGGCGCUGAUCUGCGCGGUGCCCGUGAUCGCGUCGGGGGUGUGGUUCGCGUCGGCGCAGGGCGAGGAGUGCGCGCGCCUGGCGCGGUGGCCCGUGGCCAUCCUGGGCGGGCUGCUCCUGCUGGCCGCGCUGGCGGGCUUCGUGGGCGCGUACUGGAACCGGCGCGGCCUGCUUGCCUUCUACCUCUUCGCCAUGGCGUCGCUCGUCGUGCUCCUCAUCGCGCUCCUCGCCUUCGCCUUCGCCGUCACCCGCGGGUCCGGCGCCUACCCCGUGCUCGGCCGCGCCUACGACGACUACCGCCUCGACGGCUUCUCCAUGUGGCUCCGCGGGUACGUCUCCGACGACCCCGGGCGCUGGGACAAGGUCAGGGCCUGCCUCGCCGUCUCCGACACCUGCAAGAAGCUCGCGCGCCAGGCCGCCUUCACCAGCGCAGACCAGUUCUAUCAGUCGCACCUCUCCCCGCUCCAGUCCGGGUGCUGCAAGCCGCCGUCGGUGUGCGGGUUCAGCUACGUGAGCCCGACGGUGUGGUCCGCCCCGGCGGCGCGGCCGGCGGCGGACGCGGACUGCGGGCUGUGGAGCAACGACCCGGGGCAGCUGUGCUACGGGUGCGAGUCCUGCAAGGCGGGCCUCCUGGAGGCGCUCCGGGACCAGUGGCACAAGGCCAACGUCGCCCUCGUCGUCGCCACCGUCGCCCUCGUCAUCCUCUACCUCGUCGGCUGCAGCGCCUACAAGAACGCGCAGGCCGCCGCCAUCUUCGGACGCCGCAAGUAUUAGCUAGCUAGCUGCCAUGUUAGUUUUUUUUUGCGCUUUUUUUUCUUUAUUGUCAUGUGGGUUGUGGAUUAUGGAUUGCGUAUGUGUGUCCCCCCUGGUGGAGAGAAGCAUUUGUAGCGGUGGCGUGGUGUGUGUUUCCGGACUUGGUUCAUCAUGGUAGUGUGAUACAUGUGUAAGAUUAGUUACUUUAAUUACUAAUUGUGCUGUUUUCCUCUUUCCCUGUUCGCCGACGAGUAAUGUAUCUGGUUUGAAGAUUAGUUACUUUACUAAUGGUUUGAAGACGACUAAGGGCUUGUUCGUUUUGCUCUCAAUCCAUGUGGAUUGGGUGGGAUUGGAUGGGUUUCAAUCCCAAACAAGUCAAAAUCGUUCACAAUUUUUUCCAAUCCCAUCCAAUCCAUAUGGGAUAGGAAUAACCGAACAAGCCCUAAUAGAUUAUAGAUGUGGGUUGGGCCUGUGGAAAGAUCACCGAUGGCCUUGGUAGACGGCAGUAGUAAUACACAGGGGAGCAGGAUGUUAUUUGUUUGGCAAUGGAAUGGAGACACGCCUUGCCGUCAGUAGUGCUACACCCGUUGCUCCUCGUCCCGUGCGUGCUUGGGCGGCUGGCCGUCAGCGUCAGGCGGCGGGUGGCACCUGCUGCUGAACACCCUGAAGGCGGAGACGAGUGAGAGCGCGGCGAAGCAGGCCAGCGCGGCGGCGUGCAGCGCCAGCGACACCGUGGCCUUCCCGCAGAACCGGCCGAAGUAGGAGCACGCCUCGCCCCACGACACGCCCCGGUCGCCGUGCCGCGCCAGCUGCAGCAGCUCCGCCGCCGCCGAGGCCGACGUCACCAGCAGGUAUAAGUAACUAAUAAAGAGCAUGUACUGUACGUCGAAUAGAGAGGAAGAGGAGAAGCUAAGAUGGUGUGCUGGGCGGGCGAGACAGAGCGACCUGAUCCAUGACGAGAACCACCCAGUCGUAGCGCGCGGCGAGGGGCCGCUUGAAGGACGACGCCAAGACGGAGGCUACAGCGUAGGCGGCUGUGACGGCGUUGACGCCAACCAAAUAGCUAGCAAAACGACAUCGAUUUCUUUUUUUUAGCUGCUAGCAUCAUGCAUGACGAUGCGCUCUCUCUCAAGGAGAGAACUAAUAAUCCAACACAAAAAAAAAAUUAUGCUACAGAUUCGAGCAGGGUGGAGAGGAAAUCAAACGAGAGUGCUAGCAGUCCAAUAAUGAAGGGUUCAGUUGUAAUGCUUACUACUGGAAGGCCGGUCUAAAUAAACUACACACCAAUUGAUGCCGGCGGCGGCGGAUCGAUGCUUUGUACAGACCUGAAUCCGGAGAGAUCGGAGAACUUGACCUCCCCGUAGGUGUCGUCUGCCUGCGCGUUGGUGGCCAUCUCCCACAGGGAGGCCAAGGAGAGCGGGACGACGCAGAGCCUGAGCGCCAUCUCGGGGACCUUGAGGCCCGCCGCCAUGAUCCUGGACUCAGCGUGUGCGCGUGCCGUGCUGUGGAGGAAGGGGAAUAAGAAGAAGAAGAAGACGACGACGACCGAGAGAGGACCAGGGCUUGACUGGUGCACGCACGCACCAACUCCAUACCACUAGCGUACAAAGCGAUGAAUGCGCAUGGGCUGGCCCAUGGAAUGUAUUGAGAGAGUGAGAUGGAAUGAUCUCAAAGUUUAUCUAACUUUUUUCUUUUGACUAGGGGCAUGUUCAGACUAUAACUAUUUCUA
RNAcentral lists this unclassified non-coding RNA (2751 nucleotides) under Zea mays. RNAcentral's name for it is "misc RNA Zm00001eb240110". The record is from RNAcentral. Lineage: Eukaryota; Viridiplantae; Streptophyta; Magnoliopsida; Poales; Poaceae.